GCCCGGCUAGCUCAAUCAGGCAGAGCGGCGGAUUCUUAAUCCGUAGGUUAUAGGUUCGAUUCCUAUGCCGGGUA
This 74-nucleotide transfer RNA is filed under the name candidate division TA06 bacterium B3_TA06. RNAcentral's name for it is "tRNA-Lys". It matches the Rfam family "tRNA". From Rfam's summary of the family: Transfer RNA (tRNA) molecules are approximately 80 nucleotides in length. Their secondary structure includes four short double-helical elements and three loops (D, anti-codon, and T loops). The record is from RNAcentral. RNAcentral also lists the same sequence under 2 other names.